GCAAACUUGGUCAUUUAGAGGAAGUAAAAGUCGUAACAAGGUUUCCGUAGGUGAACCUGCGGAAGGAUCAUUAGUGUUGUAUGAGGGCUGUUCUACGUGAAGCGGGGGGAAUAUGUGGUGGGUGUUGUGGUUGUUGUGUUGUGUGCGAUGGUGUGUUGUGGUGCUCAGCAUCACAGUACUCAGUACUCAGUACCACAGCGCACAGCGCGCACCCCGCCACAUGACAACAUAACAUAACAUAACAUAACGCAAACACGAAAACACGUUAAACAUUACAACUCCCAGCAGUGGAUCUCUUGGCUCCUGCAUCGAUGAAGAACGCAGC
This 325-nucleotide unclassified non-coding RNA is filed under the name uncultured fungus. RNAcentral's name for it is "partial contains small subunit ribosomal RNA, internal transcribed spacer 1, and 5.8S ribosomal RNA". The stretch from base 1 to 73 matches the Rfam family "Eukaryotic small subunit ribosomal RNA", at positions 1759 to 1831 of the family's 1831-position model. Lineage: Eukaryota; Fungi. The record is from RNAcentral.